GUGAAUUGUUUGGGGGAACUC
This 21-nucleotide microRNA is filed under the name Oryza sativa (Asian cultivated rice). RNAcentral describes it as "osa-miR395f". Its record names the gene osa-miR395f. The record is from miRBase by way of RNAcentral. Lineage: Eukaryota; Viridiplantae; Streptophyta; Magnoliopsida; Poales; Poaceae.